GAUCAUUUCUCCCUUACCGAUUAGGUCAUCUUAUAAUCUAAUCAGAUCUGACCUAAUUGAAUCCAAUUCAAUCAAACUUGAUCCAAACUUCAAUGUUCAAUCAAAUUAAGCUAAUUAAUGAUCUAAUCAUUAAUUAAUUCUCUAUUAAUAAUAGAGUUCAAGUCUAAUGAGACUCUUCUCUAGAGUCCCCGUCCAGUGGGAUUCUCUAGAGUCUCCGUCCAGUGGGACUCUUCAGUAGAGUCUCCGUUCAGUAAGAUUCUUCAGAUUAGUCAUGUGAUCCGAGAGAAACUUCUAAUGUAUAUGACUCCAUAGGUUCGAACCUAAGUCAGUAUCACAAAAACUGAUUUCUGUACCAAUCAAAGUAACCAUCUAGCAAUGGUACCCGAUAUCUGGA
This 394-nucleotide long non-coding RNA is filed under the name Elaeis guineensis (African oil palm). Its description in RNAcentral is "long non-coding RNA (EGUI_LNC079721)". Lineage: Eukaryota; Viridiplantae; Streptophyta; Magnoliopsida; Arecales; Arecaceae. The record is from RNAcentral.